Molecule: long non-coding RNA, 708 nt
Organism: Lampris incognitus (smalleye Pacific opah)
Lineage: Eukaryota; Metazoa; Chordata; Actinopteri; Lampriformes; Lampridae
Exons: 3
Source: RefSeq, a predicted model, not a curated record
GGCUCGUCUCGGCACCGUGUUCUGCCGUCAUCUCGUCGGGUAGAGGCGUUUUACUGCGAGACACCAUGCUGCACAGCGCAGUCUCAGUACCGCGGGCUUCAGAUAUACAGGCUAAUAUGGAAUAAGGCAGCAGAAACUGGCCAUGCUGUGUGGACGUGCGUGGGGAUGGCAGCACAUUUGAUUGAGAAUGUACGUCUGUGGAAACUACUGCUGAUGAACAAGCCCACAGAUGAAGAUAAUGAUUCAUGAUGACGGCAAUAACGGCUAUUAUGCUCUCCUGAAACCAGGCCGGAUCUCUGCCCACUGCCACGGACCCUAACCUCUCACUUGGAACGCCCGGCUUUUGGAUUUGGACCUCUCAAGGACCCGCUCUCCACGGAUUACGGACCCUGGAAAACCACGCUCGGACUUCUUUUGGAUCACAGACCAUGGACACCUUUGCCUGCACGCACAUUUUAUACAGUGGAUACGACAUUUACAUACCGCACCACACGUAGAGUAAAUGCUUACACAUAGCCUAGACACACAACCCGCUGGUCGUCACACAUAGUUAGACACACAUCCCACAAACGAAGAUUAACAACGCACCACACACUAUACACUUUAUUCUCGUGUUUUUCCUUGUUUCAUUUUGUUAAUAAAUCCGCCCUCCCGGCGGCUAAAUAUUCCGCUGCCUCUGAACUGCCUCUUUAGGUUCCGCUCCGGCCG